CCUACGGGUGGCAGCAGUGGGGAAUAUUGCGCAAUGGGCGAAAGCCUGACGCAGCGACGCCGCGUGAGGGAUGAAGGUCUUCGGAUCGUAAACCUCUGUCAGCAGGGAAGAACGGUCACUGUGCUAAUCAGCAGUGAAUUGACGGUACCUGCAAAGGAAGCACCGGCUAACUCCGUGCCAGCAGCCGCGGUAAUACGGAGGGUGCGAGCGUUAAUCGGAAUUACUGGGCGUAAAGCGCUCGUAGGCGGUAUGUCAAGUCAAGGGUGAAAUCCCCGCGCUCAACGUGGGAACUGCCUUUGAAACUGGCAGACUGGAGUGGGUGAGAGGAGAGUGGAAUUCCAGGUGUAGGAGUGAAAUCCGUAGAUAUCGGGAGGAACAUCAGUGGCGAAGGCGACGAUCUGGCACAAAACUGACGCUGAGGAGCGAAAGCGUGGGUAGCAAACAGGAUUAGAUACCCGAGUAGUC
This 465-nucleotide ribosomal RNA is filed under the name uncultured bacterium. RNAcentral's name for it is "partial 16S ribosomal RNA". It matches the Rfam family "Bacterial small subunit ribosomal RNA", at positions 338 to 795 of the family's 1533-position model. The record is from RNAcentral.